GCCCCACCCCAGGGCGCUCCUCUGCAGGGAGACGUGAAAGGGCCUGAACGCAGGCCUGGUGGCCCGUGUCGCUUUGGGUCCCAGCACUGCCACCAUCUCCACCCUCUUGCUUCCUGCCCUCUUGAUGGCCCUUGGGGUGGACGGGCUCUACUCUUAGCCUCACCCCAGCCUCUGUGUCGACACCUGGGUCUCUGCUCAGGAAGGGCCCCCUUGACAAGGGGGGUUCCAAGGGCUGAUUUGGGGUUUCACGCCCAUUCAUAUUCGGAAUGUCAAAGCUCAUCUAAAACAGCUCCAAUAGUUGGUGGCCUCAGGGGGUGACUGCAAGUCCUCUCUCUUUGCAGUCUUCCAUCCCUGGCCUGAUGUGGAAAACCUCUUAACUAAGUUCCCUCAGCUGCCUUUCCACAUAGGCCUCGGAGGCCCACGCUGGAGCUGGGGUGCCCCCUCCCCAGGCCCUUGCGGGUUUCUGAGCCUUCUUGGCAGUGGGCUGGGGCGGGGGCGGGGGGCCUGCUUCCUUACUCCUUCUGAGAGAUUUGGGCAAGCUCCUCCCACCACAUCCCUUUGCAGGACUGCGCCAGUCGGAGAGAGAAGCCUAUCAGUUCAUCCUGGAAUUUCUAGAACGUGGAGAAAUGUCCAACUUGGACAAGCUGAAGUUCCUGAGGGCGGUGGACACCCUGAGUUGUGCCGUCCAUGCCCAGGCAAGUGGCACGAUGGAUGAUUACUUUCCCAAAACCCUCCUGGCCAAGAAAAUCGAGACGUUGAUCCUUGAAGAGGCGAGUGAGCAGCUGACCAGCAACGUGCGUCAGCAAGCCAUGCUCUGCAUCGUCACCCUGAGGUUCCUCCCUGCUGCCACCUCC
Rhinolophus ferrumequinum (greater horseshoe bat) is the source of this 854-nucleotide long non-coding RNA. RefSeq lists it as uncharacterized. The record is from RefSeq and is a predicted model, not a curated record. The transcript has 3 exons. Lineage: Eukaryota; Metazoa; Chordata; Mammalia; Chiroptera; Rhinolophidae.